This 499-nucleotide ribosomal RNA is filed under the name uncultured bacterium. RNAcentral describes it as "partial 16S ribosomal RNA". It matches the Rfam family "Bacterial small subunit ribosomal RNA", at positions 28 to 507 of the family's 1533-position model. The record is from RNAcentral.
GACGAACGCUGGCGGCGUGCCUAAUACAUGCAAGUCGAGCGAAGUUUUUCUGGUGCUUGCACUAGAAAAACUUAGCGGCGAACGGGUGAGUAACACGUAAAGAACCUGCCUCAUAGACUGGGACAACUAUUGGAAACGAUAGCUAACACCGGAUAACAGUAUUUCUCGCAUGAGAGAUAUUUAAAAGUUGGUUAUGCUAACACUAUGAGAUGGCUUUGCGGUGCAUUAGCUAGUUGGUGGGGUAAAGGCCCACCAAGGCGACGAUGCAUAGCCGACCUGAGAGGGUGAUCGGCCACACUGGGACUGAGACACGGCCCAGACUCCUACGGGAGGCAGCAGUAGGGAAUCUUCCGCAAUGGGCGAAAGCCUGACGGAGCAACGCCGCGUGAGUGAAGAAGGAUUUCGGUUCGUAAAGCUCUGUUGUUAGGGAAGAAUGGAUAUGUAGUAACUAUACAUGUAAGAGACGGUACCUAACCAGAAAGCCACGGCUAACUACGUG